RNAcentral lists this long non-coding RNA (1303 nucleotides) under Piliocolobus tephrosceles (Ugandan red Colobus). RNAcentral's name for it is "lncRNA (ENSPTEG00000003133.1)". The record is from RNAcentral. Lineage: Eukaryota; Metazoa; Chordata; Mammalia; Primates; Cercopithecidae.
UUCAACACCAAGGAGAAUGGUCCAGCAACAGCUCAGUCCAUGCUUGUCAACCACCCGCCUCCAUACACUCCAGCCCUGGUCCACAGCCCCCAAGGCUCCUUGUGGGAUUCAUCAGCAACACCAAGGCACUGACCGUCACUCUAUGUUCUCCUAGGUUCUGUUGAAGAUCUGCAGGCGUAUGCAUAUGGCAGAAUGGAGUAUAUGAAAUCAGAACUUGUAAGACUUUAUUUCUUUCUCUGGAAGAGAAAUUUUUGUUUUGUUUUGUUUUUUGUUUUUUCUGGGGCUUCUACACUAUAAAGUGAAUAUCAUUUUUGACUGCCAUCAUGGAUGAGGGUUCAGUUGGUCAUGGACUCUAGCGACCGGUCACUAGAGGUUAUGACCAACUGAGUACUGAUUGACGAUGGCAGUCAAAGGACGGCAUCACUUGCAAACUGUUUGGUAGUGAGUGUAUUUCUCAGUAGCAACUUUUCUCCCUGAAAAAUAAUUUUGUAUUUGUCAGCCAAAAUGGACGCUUGCUAAAUAUUCCAAAAAAAACCACACUGCACUGUCCACAAGCAUCCUCUGUGCUUUCUUUCGGGGCCAGUAACCUGAUCACUGUUUUUUGUUUUUUUUUUUCUCUUAUUGCAGAGCGAAUUGGAAGCCAAGUAUCGAUUCUGUUCUGUUGAUCUGCAGGCGUAUGCAUAUGGCAGCAUGGAGUAUAUUAAAUCAGAACUUAGCAAAUUGGAAGCCGAGUCUCGACGCUGUUCUGUUGAAGAUCUGCAGGCGUAUGCAUAUGGCAGCAUGGAGUAUAUGAAAUCAGAACUUGUAAGACUUUAUUUCUUUCUCUGGAAGAGAAAUUUUUUUUUGUUUUGUUUUGUUUUUUGUUUUUUUCUGAGGCUUCUACACUAUCAAGUGAAUAUCAUUUUUGACUGCCAUCAUGGAUCAGGCUUCAGUUGGUCAUGGACUCUAGCGACCGUUCACUAGAGUUUAUGACCAACUGAGGCCUGAUGACGAUGGCAGUCAAAGGACGGCAUCACUUGCAAACUGUUUAGUAGUGAGUGUAUUUCUCAGUAGCAAGUUUUCUCCCUGAAAAAUAAUUUUGUAUUUGUCAGCCAACAUGGACACUUGCUAAAUAUUCCAAAAAAACCCCACUGUACUGUCCACAAGCAUCCUCUGUGCUUUCUUUCGGGGCCAGUAACCUGAUCACUGUUUUUUUUUUUUUUUUUCCUCUUAUUGCAGAGGAAAUUGGAAGCCGAGUAUCGACUCUGUACGUAUUUUUUUUUUAACAGCUUUAUUUAAACAUAGUUGACGUGCAAAACAAUUU